AUGGUGCUACCACAAUAAAAAGGUGCUACCACAUGUUAGUCUGCUACUAAGUUUUGCUUUGUACUCUACGUUUAUAUAUUUAAAGCCCAUUUGAUUCAAUUUCAAGAAUAGGCAUCACAUGCAAUCCUAGUACAACAGACUGAUUCAAGCAUUUGGUUGGGUUUUUGUAAUGUAAAGUGGAUUACAUUUUGUAAUCAUGAUUACCUCAAGUGAUGUAUUGGGAUUGCUAGCUGAGACUCAUGAAUAAGAGUGCAAACCUCUUAUAAUCAAGUGAAAAAGAUAUUAUUGCCCUUAUAAAAUUUCAAAUUGACUGGAUUGUCCCUACUGAAAUAAGGCCCAUAAACCCUAUUAAUCGCUACCCACCAUAUAUUUACUGCUAACAUUGUCUUCUUCACUGCCGCACUAACAGAGGUCAUUGCUGCUUGAUUGUCAUUGUUCUAAGGAAUCUAUGGCGAGGUUGAGGACAUUUAGAAAGACGUGCAAGGUUGUAUCUAAGAUGGUGACUUUUGGCUUUAUAUGAGAUCCCAACAAGAAUUAUGUCACAGCUGAAGAUCAUGCAUGGUCUGAAUUUGUGAGGGUUAAUAAGCUAGCUGGAAAUUUUAGAAAUAUAAGGUUACACUACUUUGAAGAUCUAUCAUAUGUUUUGGAGUGAGGACCAUACACCUGGAAUGGGUGCAAAAUUACCUCCACCUUAUGUUGAGAAUGAUGAAGAAGAAGAUUAAACAACUGAAGCUGAGAUCCACGCCAAAUAAUUAAAAUACAUGAUAUUUUAUUCAUAUCAAUUAUCAAGGCAUAGUAUAGUAUGCAUUAUACGUCUUUUGUUAGACAUAACCAUCAUAUUUUAUAGGAUGAAGUUAUUAUAAGUCCUUUUUUUACUAUUGUGGCUCAUACUUUUUAUUUGGUUGGGACUGUAUUUUUUACUUUGAUUAAUG
Molecule: long non-coding RNA, 932 nt
Organism: Neltuma alba
Lineage: Eukaryota; Viridiplantae; Streptophyta; Magnoliopsida; Fabales; Fabaceae
Exons: 3
Source: RefSeq, a predicted model, not a curated record